This 210-nucleotide long non-coding RNA is filed under the name Mytilus galloprovincialis (Mediterranean mussel). The record is from RNAcentral. Lineage: Eukaryota; Metazoa; Mollusca; Bivalvia; Mytilida; Mytilidae.
CACAACAUUAAAAUGUAACACACACAGAAACGGACUAAGCACUAGACACAAUCCUAUGAGAAUAACAAAUAACAUCAAAACCAAAUACAUGAAUUUGGGAUAGAUAAGUACCGUGACACGUCUUAUAGUAAUGUAAAUUCACACUCAAAAAUAAGAGAAAACAAACGACACAACGGAAACACAACGUUAAAAUGCAACACACACAGAAAC